This 450-nucleotide ribosomal RNA is filed under the name uncultured bacterium. Its description in RNAcentral is "partial 16S ribosomal RNA". It matches the Rfam family "Bacterial small subunit ribosomal RNA", at positions 338 to 795 of the family's 1533-position model. The record is from RNAcentral.
CCUACGGGGGGCUGCAGUCGAGAAUCUUCGGCAAUGCGCGCAAGCGUGACCGAGCGACGCCGUGUGUGGGAUGAAGGCCUUCGGGUUGUAAACCACUGUCGUAGAGGAGGAAGUUGAUUGGGGUUCUCCCCAGUCAUUGACCUAUUCUAGGAGGAAGGACGGGCUAAGUUCGUGCCAGCAGCCGCGGUAAUACGAACCGUCGAAACGUUAUUCGGAAUUACUGGGCUUGGAGGCUCCGGAGGCGGCGUGGGAAAGCCCUCGGCUCAACCGAGGAAUUGCGCCCGAUACUGCAGUGCUUGAGGGAGACAGAGGUAAGCGGAACUGAUGGUGGAGCGGUGAAAUGCGUUGAUAUCAUCAGGAACACCAGUGGCGAAAGCGGCUUACUGGGUCUCUUCUGACGCUGAGGUACGAAAGCUAGGGGAGCGAAGGGGAUUAGAUACCCGAGUAGUC